GUUUUUAGUUUAAAGGCACGAAGGCCAAUUACAAUGUUCAGAUACAUUCAUAUGGGGUAUAUGGAAAACGUAGAUCUGAAUACAAGAAAGGCCGGCUUUCGCACAGCGAUUCUCCAACCGAGUUUCCUCGAGAGUUUUCAGAUCUACACAAAGUGCACAGGUGGUUAAAGAUGGAGAAGGCGUGCACUUGCUCCGAAAAGCCAGCAACAACCCCACCAAAUUUUUUCAAUAAUGAUCCUUCCGCAGGUUCACCUACGGAAA
Molecule: unclassified non-coding RNA, 261 nt
Filed under: uncultured fungus
Lineage: Eukaryota; Fungi
Description: sequence contains ITS1
Source: RNAcentral